RNAcentral lists this long non-coding RNA (251 nucleotides) under Elaeis guineensis (African oil palm). Its description in RNAcentral is "long non-coding RNA (EGUI_LNC012205)". Lineage: Eukaryota; Viridiplantae; Streptophyta; Magnoliopsida; Arecales; Arecaceae. The record is from RNAcentral.
CCUUAUCUUUAAUUGAUUUCAACUACUGAACAACUCAAUCUUAAGCCCUCAUCUUUAUCAAGUUCUCAAACUACCUCAUCACCUAGUCUUCAAGAAACAACUUCUUAUAUUCCGAAUCACAAGCUCCUUAAGAAAUGGACUUUCAUUAUCAUUAUAGGAUUCUUGAUGCCCUAUUUCAUUCUCUCUAUGAUAUAUACCUUUUCACCAAGAUUGCUAAAGAAUUUUGGGACGCUCUAAAGGCUGAGUAUGUG